GCCAGGCGUGGUGGCGCACACCUGUAAUCCCAGCUACUUGGGAGGCUGAGGCAGGAGAAUCGCUUGAACCCAGGAGGCAGAGGUUGCAGUGAGCUGAGAUCGCACCACUGCACUCCAGCCUGGGUGACAGAGCAAGACUCUGUCUCAA
RNAcentral lists this non-coding RNA (148 nucleotides) under Homo sapiens (human). The record is from Rfam by way of RNAcentral. Lineage: Eukaryota; Metazoa; Chordata; Mammalia; Primates; Hominidae.